RNAcentral lists this ribosomal RNA (574 nucleotides) under uncultured Glomus. RNAcentral's name for it is "SSU rRNA". It matches the Rfam family "Eukaryotic small subunit ribosomal RNA", at positions 536 to 1106 of the family's 1831-position model. The record is from RNAcentral. Lineage: Eukaryota; Fungi; Glomeromycota; Glomeromycetes; Glomerales; Glomeraceae.
UUCGAUUUUGGAGGGCAAGUCUGGUGCCAGCAGCCGCGGUAAUUCCAGCUCCAAUAGCGUAUAUUAAAGUUGUUGCAGUUAAAAAGCUCGUAGUUGAAUUUCGGGAUUGACGUGACGGUCGUGCCUUAAGGGGUAUGAACUGUCGCCGUUGAUUUCUCACCUUCUGGAGAAGCUCGAUGUCCUUAAUUGGAUGUCUUGUGGAACCAGGACCUUUACCUUGAAAAAAUUAGAGUGUUUAAAGCAGGCAUUUUGCUCGAAUACAUUAGCAUGGAAUAAUAGAAUAGGACGGCAUGGUUCUAUUUUGUUGGUUUCUAGGAUCACCGUAAUGAUUAAUAGGGAUAGUUGGGGGCAUUAGUAUUCAAUUGUCAGAGGUGAAAUUCUUGGAUUUAUUGAAGACUAACUACUGCGAAAGCAUUUGCCAAGGAUGUUUUCAUUAAUCAAGAACGAAAGUUAGGGGAUCGAAGACGAUCAGAUACCGUCGUAGUCUUAACCAUAAACUAUGCCGACUAGGGAUCGGAUGAUGUUAAUUUUUUAAUGACUCGUUCGGCGCCUUACGGGAAACAAUCACUAGUGA